Alligator sinensis (Chinese alligator) is the source of this 793-nucleotide long non-coding RNA. RefSeq lists it as uncharacterized. Lineage: Eukaryota; Metazoa; Chordata; Crocodylia; Alligatoridae. The record is from RefSeq and is a predicted model, not a curated record. The transcript has 3 exons.
GGAUAAGUACUUUGCUAUCAAUUAAUAAAGAAGGAAGGAACUCAAAACCACCUACCAUGGAUUAACCUUGAAAAUCUGAGGGGCAAAAUGACUUGUACCCAGGAGGUCUAAAAGAGCAGGCUGAAGAGGUCUGUGGCCUGCUGGCAUUAAGCUGUUGGAAUCUAAAGGGACAAGCAAGUUCUUUAAAUUUUUGCAGUAACUCACUUCUCUUGGUGAGUUUCAAAUUGGCCAUAGCCCUCUUGGCUUUCCCUAUGAAAGGAUGCCCUGAAGUGCGAGGAGAUGAGCAGAUAAAUGCAGACUUGAGAUUGUCCUUGCCUGGAUGAUCCCCCACCCCCAUUUCCCAAACCCUCUGCAAGGAGUAAAACCUGGUCCUGAGGAUGAGUGGAGAGUUCUGGGAUAGAACCCCUUUAGCAUCCCAUUAUCUCUGCAGAAGGACAGUUUGUUCAAGCUUGAACUCCACCAGCUGAGCACUGACCCUGCCAGAGAAUUUCACCUGGUCCCCAUCUGACUGAAACUAGCUGGUGAGCCAACAUCUAACAUUUUUGUGAAUUUCACAGGUUUGUAUUACACAUUCACUAGCCAAAUUCCCACUACUGUUUGACUGCCUAAACAAAAACAGUUGCUGCACCUUGUGUCUCUAAACCUUGUCCCCUUAACUGUGUGUCCUGUAUUUCCCAAACUGUGAUGCAGUUUCACUAGACAUUUAUGAUGUUCUGUUCUGAAUAGUCUUGCAUUUUUAACAGUCUUUCCACCCCCCUCUUUCUUCUCUGUAUUGGUGUUUCAUAGAACUGCU